Molecule: non-coding RNA, 117 nt
Filed under: Chlorocebus sabaeus (green monkey)
Lineage: Eukaryota; Metazoa; Chordata; Mammalia; Primates; Cercopithecidae
Source: Rfam by way of RNAcentral
GCCAGGUGAGGUGGCUCACGCCUGUAAUCCCAGCACCUUGGGAGGCUGAGGUGGGUGGAUCACCUGAGGUCAGGAGUUUGAGACCAGCCUGGCCAACAUGGUGAAAACCCAUCUCUG